RNAcentral lists this ribosomal RNA (462 nucleotides) under uncultured bacterium. RNAcentral's name for it is "partial 16S ribosomal RNA". It matches the Rfam family "Bacterial small subunit ribosomal RNA", at positions 28 to 506 of the family's 1533-position model. The record is from RNAcentral.
GACGAACGCUGGCGGCGUGCUUAACACAUGCAAGUCGAACGGUGAACCUCUUCGGAGGGGCUCAGUGGCUAACGGGUGAGUAACACGUUGGCAACCUGCCCCCGGCUCUGGGAUAACUCCAAGAAAUUGGGGCUAAUACCGUAUGUUCACCGCUUCCCGCAUGGGUGGUGGUGGAAAGGUUUUCCGGAUGGGGAUGGGCCCGCGGCCUAGCAUCGGGUUGGUAGGGUAGUGGCCUACCAAGGCGACGACGGGUAGCCGGCCUGAGAGGGUGACCGGCCCCACUGGGAUUGGGGAAGCGGCAAGAGUCCUUCGGGAGGAAGGAGUGGAGAAUAUUGCGAAAAGGGCCGAAGGAUUAAGGAGGGACGCCGGGUGGGGGAUGACGGCCUUCGGGUAGUAAAACUCUUUCAGCAGGGACGAAGCGUAAGUGACGGUACCAGCAGAAGAAGCACCGGCAAACUACGU